GGAGUCGGCUCGGCAGUCGCUUCGGUGCUUGCACCGGGGAGGAAAGUCCGGGCUCCACAGGGCAGAGCGCCAGGUAACGCCUGGGGGGCGAGAGCCCACGGAAAGUGCAGCAGAAAGUAAACCGCCUAAGCGACCUCGGUCGCCGGUAAGGGUGAAAUGGUGCGGUAAGAGCGCACCGCGCGACUGGCAACAGUUCGUGGCGAUGGUAAACCCCGCUCGGAGCAAGACCAAAUAGGAACCCGAUGGUGCGGCCCGUACCGGGUUCGGGUAGGUCGCUCGAGGUGCGUGGCGACACGCAUCCCAGAUGAAUGACUGUCCUCGACAGAACCCGGCUUACAGGCCGACUCCGACU
RNAcentral lists this RNase P RNA (352 nucleotides) under Marinimicrobium sp. RNAcentral describes it as "RNase P RNA component class A". It matches the Rfam family "Bacterial RNase P class A". From Rfam's summary of the family: Ribonuclease P (RNase P) is a ubiquitous endoribonuclease, found in archaea, bacteria and eukarya as well as chloroplasts and mitochondria. Lineage: Bacteria; Pseudomonadati; Pseudomonadota; Gammaproteobacteria; Cellvibrionales; Cellvibrionaceae. The record is from RNAcentral.